GAUGAACGCUAGCGGCAGGCCUAACACAUGCAAGUCGAACGGUAACAUAGAUUGCUUGCAAUCUGAUGACGAGUGGCGCACGGGUGCGUAACGCGUAUACAAUCUACCUUUUACAGGGGGAUAGCCCAGAGAAAUUUGGAUUAAUACCCCAUGGUAUUGAGAAUUGGCAUCGAUUUUCAAUUAAAGAUUCAUCGGUAAGAGAUGAGUAUGCGUCCUAUUAGCUAGAUGGUAAGGUAACGGCUUACCAUGGCAACGAUAGGUAGGGGCCCUGAGAGGGGGAUCCCCCACACUGGUACUGAGACACGGACCAGACUCCUACGGGAGGCAGCAGUGAGGAAUAUUGGACAAUGGGGGCAACCCUGAUCCAGCCAUGCCGCGUGCAGGAAGACUGCCCUAUGGGUUGUAAACUGCUUUUAUACAGGAAGAAACGCUCCCACGUGUGGGGGUUUGACGGUACUGUAAGAAUAAGGAUCGGCUAACUCCG
This 484-nucleotide ribosomal RNA is filed under the name uncultured Flavobacteriaceae bacterium. RNAcentral's name for it is "bacterial SSU rRNA". It matches the Rfam family "Bacterial small subunit ribosomal RNA", at positions 28 to 505 of the family's 1533-position model. The record is from RNAcentral. Lineage: Bacteria; Pseudomonadati; Bacteroidota; Flavobacteriia; Flavobacteriales; Flavobacteriaceae.